Molecule: transfer RNA, 104 nt
Filed under: Promethearchaeota archaeon
Lineage: Archaea; Promethearchaeati; Promethearchaeota
Also listed under: 1 other name
Description: Candidatus Lokiarchaeota archaeon tRNA-Val
Rfam family: tRNA
About the family: Transfer RNA (tRNA) molecules are approximately 80 nucleotides in length. Their secondary structure includes four short double-helical elements and three loops (D, anti-codon, and T loops).
Source: RNAcentral
GGGCCGAUAGUCUAGCGGUAUGACGUUUGCUUGACGUGCAAAGGGCAGAGAGCGUAUACGCUCUGCUUAGCAACAGGUCGGGGGUUCAAUUCCCUCUCGGCCCA